RNAcentral lists this ribosomal RNA (426 nucleotides) under uncultured bacterium. RNAcentral describes it as "partial 16S ribosomal RNA". It matches the Rfam family "Bacterial small subunit ribosomal RNA", at positions 355 to 774 of the family's 1533-position model. The record is from RNAcentral.
UGGGGAAUAUUGGACAAUGGGCGAAAGCCUGAUCAGCCAUGCCGCGUGUGUGAAGAAGGUCUUCGGAUUGUAAAGCACUUUAAGUUGGGAGGAAGGGCAUUAACCUAAUACGUUAGUGUUUUGACGUUACCGACAGAAUAAGCACCGGCUAACUCUGUGCCAGCAGCCGCGGUAAUACAGAGGGUGCAAGCGUUAAUCGGAAUUACUGGGCGUAAAGCGCGCGUAGGUGGUUUGUUAAGUUGGAUGUGAAAUCCCCGGGCUCAACCUGGGAACUGCAUUCAAAACUGACUGACUAGAGUAUGGUAGAGGGUGGUGGAAUUUCCUGUGUAGCGGUGAAAUGCGUAGAUAUAGGAAGGAACACCAGUGGCGAAGGCGACCACCUGGACUAAUACUGACACUGAGGUGCGAAAGCGUGGGGAGCAAACA